This 1133-nucleotide long non-coding RNA is filed under the name Ornithorhynchus anatinus (platypus). Its description in RNAcentral is "lncRNA (ENSOANG00000039142.1)". The record is from RNAcentral. Lineage: Eukaryota; Metazoa; Chordata; Mammalia; Monotremata; Ornithorhynchidae.
CUUUAAAAAAUAAGAAAAAGGAAAACCAAUGUUAAGUGUUCCCUUUUUCUUUCCUGUUUGAAUAGUUGCCUUCCAAAAACAGCACAGCUCUAUCAGACAGUAUUCCAGCAAGGAAAGCCACUGGACUGGGGGACAGCUACGACUCCCUGCCCAAGCCCAAAGCCAGGCCCAUCAAAUCUCCCGUAGCUGGUCAGAAGCUACCUAUGACCAGAGUGACACUGAAGGAAGGAUCAGAGCUCUGAAGGAUGAACUGCAUCCAAGAAAACUUGUUGCUGAUCAGUUAAGGAACAGAGAAGCAGCAGCAGAGAGGUUGAGAGCCCAAGAAGCAAGUCAGAGCAGAGGUAAGAAAUGGGAGGAAAACAGGUUUUGGCACCAAGAUUUCUUGCUCUGUGGGAAAGUCCAGGGCUCUUUGUUCAACUGCAAUGGAUGAGUUGAUUUAAAUAAUCACUAAUAGUGUGAGCUGAAUUUCAUGCUGACCUUUUUUUGGUUCCAGCAAUCAGGAUCAAAUUUGAAUUUAAGCAAAACAAUAAAAGGUUAGUGAAUUGGAAAUGCCACCAUUUUGAGUGGACUGGUUUUAAAUAUUGCCUAAGUGCUUGUGUAUUCACAUCCCCCUCUUUACACUUGCAUACAAAUCAUCAUUGUUUCCCAUGAGCUGUAAUUUAUUUUAGGGUCUGUGUACCCCAGGCAGAGAUCUAGUCUACUAGACUGAAGAUAAUCUAGGCCACUUCAGCAAAUCAAUAAAUCUAAUAUCUGUUGAGUACUUACCUCAGCAGAGUUCUAUACUGAGUGCUUGGAGACUUACUAGACAUGAUCCCUAGCCUCAAAAAGAGUUUACAGUUUAGCUGGUUAGACAGACACUUCUUAAAUUUAUAGGUAGGACAGGAGGAAAAGCCAAAGUGGAUCUGAAGGUGUGAGAGCACAGAUAGUAGGGUAGGUAUAAAAGAAGUACAGGUGGUUGUGAGCACACAAAUGGUUGUUUGAGGCUUAAAACUUGGGCAGAGGAGAUAUUAAAACCCUGGUAUCGAUUUCUACCGUAGGCUCCUUAUUGAAGGGGAGCAUUAUGCCACAAAAUCUCUUGGUAUUUUCAAAGCAGAAUUUUAGACUAAUUCUGAAUUGCAUAGUACUUAAUGCAC